UGGAUUAGCGGCGGACGGGUGAGUAACACGUGGGUAACCUGCCUCAAAGAGGGGAAUAGCCUUCCGAAAGGAAGAUUAAUACCGCAUAAUAUGUUUUGGUCGCAUGACUGAAACAUCAAAGGAGCAAUCCGCUUUGAGAUGGACCCGCGGCGCAUUAGCUAGUUGGUGAGGUAACGGCUCACCAAGGCGACGAUGCGUAGCCGACCUGAGAAGGUGAUCGGCCACAUUGGAACUGAGACACGGUCCAGACUCCUACGGGAGGCAGCAGUGGGGAAUAUUGCGCAAUGGGGGAAACCCUGACGCAGCAACGCCGCGUGAAUGAUGAAGGCCUUCGGGUUGUAAAGUUCUGUCUUCUGGGACGAUAAUGACGGUACCAGAGGAGGAAGCCACGGCUAACUACGUGCCAGCAGCCGCGGUAAUACGUAGGUGGCAAGCGUUGUCCGGAUUUACUGGGCGUAAAGGAUGCGUAGGCGGACAUUUAAGUCAGAUGUGAAAUACCCGAGCUUAACUUGGGUGCUGCAUUUGAAACUGGGUGUCUAGAGUGCAGGAGAGGUAAGUGGAAUUCCUAGUGUAGCGGUGAAAUGCGUAGAGAUUAGGAAGAACACCAGUGGCGAAGGCGACUUACUGGACUGUAACUGACGCUGA
RNAcentral lists this ribosomal RNA (645 nucleotides) under sulfate-reducing bacterium enrichment culture clone 40-50-D11. RNAcentral's name for it is "bacterial SSU rRNA". It matches the Rfam family "Bacterial small subunit ribosomal RNA", at positions 88 to 749 of the family's 1533-position model. The record is from RNAcentral.